UGGGAGACUUGAGUGCAGAAGAGGACAGUGGAACUCCAUGUGUAGCGGUGGAAUGCGUAGAUAUAUGGAAGAACACCAGUGGCGAAGGCGGCUGUCUAGUCUGUAACUGACGCUGAGGCUCGAAAGCAUGGGUAGCGAACAGGAUUAGAUACCCUGGUAGUCCAUGCCGUAAACGAUGAGUGCUAAGUGUUGGAGGGUUUCCCCCUUCAGUGCUGCAGCUAACGCAUUAAGCACUCCGCCUGGGGAGUACGACCGCAAGGUUGAAACUCAAAGGAAUUGACGGGGGCCCGCACAAGCGGUGGAGCAUGUGGUUUAAUUCGAAGCUACGCGAAGAACCUUACCAGGUCUUGACAUCUUCUGCCAAUCUUAGAGAUAAGACGUUCCCUUCGGGGACAGAAUGACAGGUGGUGCAUGGUUGUCGUCAGCUCGUGUCGUGAGAUGUUGGGUUAAGUCCCGCAACGAGCGCAACCCUUAUUAUCAGUUGCCAGCAUUCAGUUGGGCACUCUGGUGAGACUGCCGGUGACAAACCGGAGGAAGGUGGGGAUGACGUCAAAUCAUCAUGCCCCUUAUGACCUGGGCUACACACGUGCUACAAUGGACGGUACAACGAGUCGCGAAGUCGUGAGGCUAAGCUAAUCUCUUAAAGCCGUUCUCAGUUCGGAUUGUAGGCUGCAACUCGCCUACAUGAAGUUGGAAUCGCUAGUAAUCGCGGAUCAGCAUGCCGCGGUGAAUACGUUCCCGGGCCUUGUACACACCGCCCGUCACACCAUGAGAGUUUGUAACACCCAAAGCCGGUGAGAUAACCUUCGGGAGUCAGCCGUCUAAGGUGGGACAGAUGAUUAGGGUGAAGUCGUAACAAGGUAACCA
This 867-nucleotide ribosomal RNA is filed under the name uncultured Lactobacillus sp. RNAcentral describes it as "bacterial SSU rRNA". It matches the Rfam family "Bacterial small subunit ribosomal RNA", at positions 634 to 1502 of the family's 1533-position model. Lineage: Bacteria; Bacillati; Bacillota; Bacilli; Lactobacillales; Lactobacillaceae. The record is from RNAcentral.